Molecule: long non-coding RNA, 226 nt
Organism: Ornithodoros turicata
Lineage: Eukaryota; Metazoa; Arthropoda; Arachnida; Ixodida; Argasidae
Exons: 4
Source: RefSeq, a predicted model, not a curated record
CUCGGAGAUAGGAGAAUCCCAUUGACGGCGCGCCAACGGCUGCUGCCUUGCGCUUGCGUCCCGUCAGGCUUCGCUUUGUGGAAUGACCUGGCUUUCUUCAUGCGCAAUUCAGUUGGAUCUUAAAAUGUCCCGAGAUCCAUCGUAGCCUGAUCACCAGAAGAAACGCGGACUGCAGGGAGUCAUGUUGUCUACGCAUUGUGCAAUGCUUUGUGACAUUGAAACAUUG